ACAGACCUUCAUCUGAAAAACAUUUUAAACACAAAUCUCCAAACCAAAAACAAAAAUAUCAUAUUCAAACCAAACAGAUUGGAGAAACAAAAUUAUGAACCCUAAAAGCAUAAUCAUAUCCAAAUCGAAUAAGCAAGCAAGCAAUUAACAUGGGGGAAUGAACGAGCAACUGUGCAAUAUCAUUUACAAAAUAAGAAAUAAACAGAAAGUAGUGAAUAAAGACUCCCAAGAAAAUGAAGUUUCCAGCGAGAGUACCGUUGGAGGAUCUCGACCUCAAGGUAUGUCGCCUCUCUCACCAUUUCCUUUGAAUCCUCUUAUUUGACUCCUUUCUUUUUAUGCUCCUCUGAUUCUUUUACUCUUGUUCUCUCUCCGUGAGGUUGUUGUUUUUGUUUGGAUUAGUCUGUUCACAAGGAAGAGUCAAAGAUUGAAUGAUUCAGAGUUUCAGUGAGAAACUCUAAAUAUUUCAGGACUGUGAGCUAUAGUAAAUGGUUUUUGGGGAAAUUUAGCAGAGUAACCGUAGUAAUUUUUCUCCUUCUUCUUAUGAAUGGGACCUAUUAUUUAUAUAUGGAUGGUGAGGAAUGCUUCUACGUGCAAAAAUGAAAGGAAUUCUUGAUGAGUUGUGUAUGUGUGGGGAGGAAUCAAAUAUGUUAGAGUGGUGAAAAACAUCCUAAAAUUUUGUGGGAUUUUGAUAGUGGAGAACAAGGAGGAACGCAAGGCAUGAGG
RNAcentral lists this long non-coding RNA (723 nucleotides) under Lathyrus oleraceus (garden pea). RNAcentral describes it as "Pisum sativum (pea) long non-coding RNA (PSAT_LNC019067)". Lineage: Eukaryota; Viridiplantae; Streptophyta; Magnoliopsida; Fabales; Fabaceae. The record is from RNAcentral.